GUCCCCAGGGUAAUGGUCCUGCCCAUUGAGACACGCACAGUGGCAGGGCGUCUCUAGGGAUGGGGUACCGGGCCUGCCAUUUCAGACAUGCGUAGUGCACCCCUCCCUAGAGGUUGGCAAAUGGCUGCGGAACCGACAGUUAUCAGGCUUCUUGGGAUCCCCUCGAGAAGCCCCCUCGCGAGUGUCUGAAACCGUCAGUUCACCGCCAGAAAUGAAAACAUCCUGUCUCUAGUCACCUGCCAUUUGCCUUUUCAAAUCCUCUGUUCUCUGGGCUGUCACAAAUCCUCCUCUGCACCCCAGGAGCGCCCCUUGGAUCCCCGGGCCGGCUGCAGGGCCCACGCCUGGGUCGGGUCUCUCACGGGGACGCUCCCGCCACUGCAAUAAAGAGGAGAAAAAGUCCCAGGGGAAGGGCCUGACCCUGCUCUAUUCAGUCAGAAAACAGCCACAGGAAGGGGCUUUGGGAGCUACAUCCACCGCUUCUCUUACCCAACCCAGGCUUCUUCCUAGGCCUCCGGGUCCUAGUGUGAACCUCCCGGCCGUGAUUGAUCCAGUUUUUCAGAUUAAGUAUUCCAAGACUACUCGCUGUUGAAACUGUCAUAGGCACAGCCUCAGCUCCCUGAGGGUGGACGCAUAAGAGCAGAAUCUCCGUGGGGAUUCUUUCUGGAGCAUCAAUAUUACUGCAGGAUUUGGAAGAAACAAAUAUAAAUAAUGUCUAAGGUCAGAGGAAUUAAUCACAGUCACAUUGUUCUGCAACCAUCAUUUGCAUUCAUAGGGAAUUUUAUUCAUUUUGCAAAACUGAAACUCUGUUCCUGUCAAACAACAGCCCCCCU
Molecule: long non-coding RNA, 830 nt
Organism: Gorilla gorilla gorilla (western lowland gorilla)
Lineage: Eukaryota; Metazoa; Chordata; Mammalia; Primates; Hominidae
Exons: 3
Source: RefSeq, a predicted model, not a curated record